This 863-nucleotide ribosomal RNA is filed under the name Microhyla butleri. Its description in RNAcentral is "partial large subunit ribosomal RNA". It matches the Rfam family "Bacterial large subunit ribosomal RNA", at positions 1110 to 2574 of the family's 2925-position model. Lineage: Eukaryota; Metazoa; Chordata; Amphibia; Anura; Microhylidae. The record is from RNAcentral.
AAGCAGCCACCUUUUAAAAAGCGUUAAAGCUUUAUUGUUUACCAAAAAAAUACCACAAACUUAACUUAACCCUCUACUAAUACUGAAUGACUUCAUAUCUUUAUGAAGAACCUUAUGUUAGAACUAGUAACAAGAAGAAGCCCUUCUCCAAAAUGUAAGCAUGAACCAAAAUGAACAAAUCAUUGGUGCUUAAAAUUUUUUAACUACAAGUAACAACUCAUCAAGAAAAUCUUACUACCCAACAUGUCAACCUUACACAAGUACAUUUAUGGAAAGAGUAAAAGAAUGGGAAGGAACUCGGCAAAUAACUAACCCCGCCUGUUUACCAAAAACAUCGCCUCCUGCUACUUUAUAGGAGGUCCAGCCUGCCCAGUGAUAAAAUUAAACGGCCGCGGUACCCUAACCGUGCAAAGGUAGCGCAAUCACUUGUUCUUUAAAUGAGGACUAGUAUGAACGGCAUCACGAGGGUUACACUGUCUCCCCGCUCUACUCAGUGAAACUGAUCUCCCCGUGAAGAAGCGGGGAUAAAAAUAUAAGACGAGAAGACCCCAUGGAGCUUAAAACUCAGUCUUACCUGCCACCUAAAAAACCUAGAAACCACGCAGUACUAAUGACUAGUUUUCGGUUGGGGUGACCGCGGAGAAAAACAAAUCCUCCACGACGAAGGGACCUCCUCACCUAAUCCAAGAGUUACACCUCUAAGAAUCAACACAUUGACCAACUGAUCCAAUUUUUUGAUCAACGGACCAAGUUACCCUGGGGAUAACAGCGCAAUCCAUUUCAAGAGCUCAUAUCGACAAAUGGGUUUACGACCUCGAUGUUGGAUCAGGGUAUCCAAGUGGCGCAGCCGCUACUAACGGUUC